GAUUUGCAUUAUAGCCACUGAAGAUUAUACUGAACUCCUGAAAGACCUGAAAGGUUUUGAAAGACCCCUGCCUUACUCAGGAAUUGAUAGACUUCCUCUCUUUUCAGGCUUCAGCCCACUCAGCCAAUAAGGCUGAAAGACUUAGGAUGCUAAGAAUCUCACCUUCGUCUUCCUUCAUCUUUUAGCCACACUACAGCAAACCAGGCUGAGUCUGAGAGUUUUUCCAGUUAACUCUUGACUUUUCUACACUUCAGAAUUCAUCAGAAGGUAAAAUGAAAGCAGAAAAAAAAUCUUCCUCUGGUAGGACAAGCAAUUGUGGCUGAAACUGGACAAGUAUCAGCAUAGAGUUUGCUGUGUUGGAGAGAAUUCCUGUCAUGUACCCCCCACAUUUGCAACCCCAGUACCAUUCAUGCCAGUUCACAGAGCACAGCUAGCCCCUUGUAAUGAAGCAGUACAUGGCAUUUUACAAAACCACUAGUAUGCGCUUCCUAAAGGGUUCAGAGACCAGGGAGAUUCCUUCAUCCCCCUGAAAUCUAUUUUCAGUGAUUUGACAUCAUCCUCUCCUCUGUGAUUGAGCUCAGAUAAACUCAAAACUAUUCUCAUGCAAUCACCCUGUCAUGUGUGUGUCUAUAUCUUAAGAACAGCCAGGAUUGCCUCAUAUAUUGGAAGCUAAGCAUGUCAUGUGUUUGCGGUGGGUACAGAAUGUGAAGCAAUCGAGCUUUCAUAUAAGAACUCAGUAGCAGUACUCAAUUCAGAGUGCUAUUAAGCAAAAUGUUGAACCAGGGAAGUUAGUUCCACUUAACAAUCUGAUUAUCCUUUGAUAAUGUUAUUUUUCUGUUGUUUUUUUUUUUUGUUUUUUUGUUUGUUUGUUUGUUUGUUUCUUUUUCCUCAGUUGAUGUAAAAACCAUAAUUCUAUUGAAGCCAGCAGAGUACUUGACUUGUAGUAGCUGAAGAUCUAGCCCUAAGGUUAUGACAUUAUGCCUCUACUAAAACAUGUUUCUGUUUUUCAUUUAGUUACCUAAUGCUAAUAAUAGUCUGCAUUUUCUGAAUAACUAACAUGUAGGUAAAAGCACUUUUAAUAAAAAUACUCAAAUUAUCA
RNAcentral lists this long non-coding RNA (1099 nucleotides) under Coturnix japonica (Japanese quail). RNAcentral's name for it is "lncRNA (ENSCJPG00005011792.1)". Lineage: Eukaryota; Metazoa; Chordata; Aves; Galliformes; Phasianidae. The record is from RNAcentral.